Neltuma alba is the source of this 404-nucleotide long non-coding RNA. RefSeq lists it as uncharacterized. Lineage: Eukaryota; Viridiplantae; Streptophyta; Magnoliopsida; Fabales; Fabaceae. The record is from RefSeq and is a predicted model, not a curated record. The transcript has 2 exons.
AAUUGGUAAAGCCGCAUGUGUGCACGGAGGAGGUCCUAGGUUCAAGCCAUAGAGAAGUCACUUUGAGGAGGGAAUUAUGCGGUGGUGACAUGUGACGCACACGUGGCAGGCAGAGGUUAGGUGGCAGGCACAUGUGUGAGAAGGAACAGACUAUGUUGAAGCCUCAGCAAAUGAAGUCACAAUAACUGAGCUUCAUCCUCGCUAAAUUUUAGCUUGCAAGUGAAAUUCCAAUAUUAGUUUUAAUGUGCAGAUUACUUUAGUGGAAAUGAAAGCUAGCAGUUCACCUAAAGAUAAGCAGGCUGUAUAUUGAUGCAGAGAUUUUACUUCUCAAAAAUAAAAUUAUUAAUUGCGGACUUUUCCCCAAUUUUUUCUAUCUAACAUCUUUUGUAAUUGCUUAUUUAUAA